This 74-nucleotide transfer RNA is filed under the name Nitrososphaera viennensis EN76. RNAcentral's name for it is "tRNA-Lys (CTT) (tRNA-Lys-CTT-1-1)". It matches the Rfam family "tRNA". From Rfam's summary of the family: Transfer RNA (tRNA) molecules are approximately 80 nucleotides in length. Their secondary structure includes four short double-helical elements and three loops (D, anti-codon, and T loops). RNAcentral also lists the same sequence under 4 other names. Lineage: Archaea; Thermoproteati; Nitrososphaerota; Nitrososphaeria; Nitrososphaerales; Nitrososphaeraceae. The record is from RNAcentral.
GGGUUCGUAGCUCAGCCAGGUAGAGCGUUUGGCUCUUAACCAAAAUGUCGUGGGUCCGAAUCCCACCGAACCCG